RNAcentral lists this non-coding RNA (186 nucleotides) under Dryobates pubescens (Downy woodpecker). RNAcentral's name for it is "Picoides pubescens (downy woodpecker) Eukaryotic large subunit ribosomal RNA". It matches the Rfam family "Eukaryotic large subunit ribosomal RNA", at positions 2136 to 2312 of the family's 3401-position model. The record is from Rfam by way of RNAcentral. Lineage: Eukaryota; Metazoa; Chordata; Aves; Piciformes; Picidae.
GACUGUUCAAUUAAAACAAAGCAUCGCGAAGGCCCGCGGCGGGGGUUGAGGCGAUGUGAUUUCUGCCCGGUGCUCUGAAUGUCACAGUGAAGAAAUUCAAUGACGCGCGGGUAAAUGGCGGGAGUAACUAUGACUGUGAUACUGCGAAACACAAUACCAGUAACCGAAGAUGUGCAAUGUACUUUC